AUUGAACGCUGGCGGCAGGCUUAACACAUGCAAGUCGAGCGGGGUGAUGGUGCUUGCACUAUCACUUAGCGGCGGACGGGUGAGUAAUGCUUAGGAAUCUGCCUAUUAGUGGGGGACAACAUCUCGAAAGGGAUACUAAUACCGCAUACGUCCUACGGGAGAAAGCAGGGGAUCACUUGUGACCUUGCGCUAAUAGAUGAGCCUAAGUCGGAUUAGCUAGUUGGUGGGGUAAAGGCCUACCAAGGCGACGAGCUGUAGCGGGUCUGAGAGGAUGAUCCGCCACACUGGGACUGAGACACGGCCCAGAUGCCUACGGGAGGCAGCAGUGGGGAAGAUUGGACAAGGGGGGGAACCCUGAUCCAGCCAUGCCGCGUGUGUGAAGAAGGCCUUAUGGUUGUAAAGCACUUUAAGCGAGGAGGAGGCUCUUUUGGUUAAUACCCAAGAUGAGUGGACGUUACUCGCAGAAUAAGCACCGGCUAACUCUGUGCCAGCCGCCGCCGUAA
Molecule: ribosomal RNA, 503 nt
Filed under: uncultured bacterium
Lineage: Bacteria
Description: partial 16S ribosomal RNA
Rfam family: Bacterial small subunit ribosomal RNA
Source: RNAcentral